GACAGCGUGGCAUAGUGGUCUGAGUGUUGGACUAUGACUCUGGAGACCAGGCUUUGAAUCCCAGCUCAGCCA
This 72-nucleotide transfer RNA is filed under the name Phrynosoma platyrhinos (Desert horned lizard). RNAcentral's name for it is "tRNA-OTHER". The record is from RNAcentral. Lineage: Eukaryota; Metazoa; Chordata; Lepidosauria; Squamata; Phrynosomatidae.